RNAcentral lists this unclassified non-coding RNA (334 nucleotides) under uncultured Glomerales. Its description in RNAcentral is "sequence contains 18S rRNA gene". Lineage: Eukaryota; Fungi; Glomeromycota; Glomeromycetes; Glomerales; Glomeraceae. RNAcentral also lists the same sequence under 1 other name. The record is from RNAcentral.
CCCAACUAUCCCUAUUAAUCAUUACGUCAAUCCUAGAAACCAACAAAAUAGGAUCGAACGUCCUAUUUCAUUAUUCCAUGCUAAUGUAUUCAAGCGUUAGCCUGCUUUAAACACUCUAAUUUUUUCAAAGUAACAGUCCUGUUUCCCUGCAACACCAAAUUAAUGACAUUACAGUUCUUCAGAAAGGAGGAAUCAGCGAAGCCAGUGCAUACCAGUGGCACGACCAACCUGCUGACCCCGAAAUUCAACUACGAGCUUUUUAACUGCAACAACUUUAAUAUACGCUAUUGGAGCUGGAAUUACCGCGGCUGCUGGCACCAGACUUGCCCUCCAA